AUACGGGAGGCAGCAGUAAGGAAUAUUGGUCAAUGGGCGCAAGCCUGAACCAGCCAUGCCGCGUGAAGGAUGACGGCCCUAUGGGUUGUAAACUUCUUUUGUACGGGAAAAAACCACCGGUCGUGUAUCGGUGCUGAUGGUACCGUAAGAAUAAGCAUCGGCUAACUCCGUGCCAGCAGCCGCGGUAAUACGGAGGAUGCAAGCGUUAUCCGGAUUCAUUGGGUUUAAAGGGUGCGCAGGCGGAGUGAUAAGUCAGUGGUGAAAGCCUACAGCUUAACUGUAGAACUGCCAUUGAUACUGUCAUUCUUGAGUAUUGUUGAGGUAGGCGGAAUGUGUCAUGUAGCGGUGAAAUGCUUAGAUAUGACACAGAACACCGAUCGCGAAGGCAGCUUACCAAGCAAUAACUGACGCUCAUGCACGAAAGCGUGGGGAUCAAACAGGAUUAGAUACCCUGGU
RNAcentral lists this ribosomal RNA (456 nucleotides) under uncultured bacterium. Its description in RNAcentral is "bacterial SSU rRNA". It matches the Rfam family "Bacterial small subunit ribosomal RNA", at positions 339 to 791 of the family's 1533-position model. The record is from RNAcentral.